UACGUAGGGUGCGAGCGUUGAUCGGAAUUACUGGGCGUAAAGCGUGCGCAGGCGGUUUUGUAAGCCAGAUGUGAAAGCCCCGGGCUUAACCUGGGAAUGGCAUUUGGGACUGCAAGGCUUGAGUGCGGCAGAGGAGACUGGAAUUCCUGGUGUAGCAGUGAAAUGCGUAGAUAUCAGGAGGAAUACCGAUGGCGAAGGCAGGUCUCUGGGCUGACACUGACGCUCAUGCACGAAAGCGUGGGGAGCAAACAGG
RNAcentral lists this ribosomal RNA (253 nucleotides) under uncultured bacterium. RNAcentral describes it as "partial 16S ribosomal RNA". It matches the Rfam family "Bacterial small subunit ribosomal RNA", at positions 524 to 776 of the family's 1533-position model. The record is from RNAcentral.